UUAUUCUUUUAUUCAUUUUUCACGAACUUUUUUUCAAAAUGUCAUCAAAAUAGGUGCUCUGGAGGAGGACAACGUGCUGGUGAUGAAGAGCGCCAGCAACGGCGGCGGCGGCGCGCCAACCGGAAGCGGAAGUGGGAGGACGAGGAGGGGGACUGUCGGUACAUCCGGCUGGAGCGUCGCGCGUCGCCGCAGUCAUUCAUGCGCAAAUUCCGGCUGCCGGAGGACGCGGACGCGGGCGCCGUGGCCGCGCUGCGAGAACGGCGUGCUCACCGUCACCGUCAAGAAGCAGCCGCCACCGGAGAAGAAGACCAAGUCCGUCCAGGUCGCCAUCGC
This 333-nucleotide ribosomal RNA is filed under the name Triticum aestivum (bread wheat). RNAcentral's name for it is "partial small subunit ribosomal RNA". Lineage: Eukaryota; Viridiplantae; Streptophyta; Magnoliopsida; Poales; Poaceae. The record is from RNAcentral.